Cicer arietinum (chickpea) is the source of this 846-nucleotide non-coding RNA. The record is from RefSeq and is a predicted model, not a curated record. NCBI's taxonomy places the organism in Eukaryota, Viridiplantae, Streptophyta, Magnoliopsida, Fabales, Fabaceae.
CUAAAGUUUACUUAAUAGUUGCUGCGGAUUUUAUUUAUGUUUCCUGCGGAUUUAGCCGCAGGUAACUUACCUGCAUAGUGAAAUCCUAGGUAACAAUUAUCGGGGAUAUGGUUCCGCCGGGAAAUAUGCAGGUAAUGGGUGUUCUUGUGGAAUUGUUGCUUAACUCCGCAGGACAAACUCAGAUUUCUAGUAGUGCUGAUCACCAUCGCACCAAGCUUUUGCCUCAAUUGGGUUUCAAUCUCCACAUCAUUACUGUUGCUUCUUGUUGGUCCAAUACUGUCUCAUACAGCAUGUGCUGCGCUGACCAUCUUCUUGACGUUGUUUGUGCUCAUUGCUUCAUGGUCUGACAAUUUUUCACAUUCAACAAUAUGAAGCAAUGACAUACUAGGAUGUUGCAAAGUACUACUCUACCUAUAAUGCCUAACAGGCUCAUGAGUUUGCAAUGUUUUGAUUGCCUUAUUUUAUUGGAAGGCAAGAUGUUGUGAUAGAGAAGGAUGGAAUGGAGUCGAUAGCUAUUUAGAACAGAGUAUAGUGACUUAAAGCAGCACUGAUGUUUGAAAGCAGUGGGAAGGUUAGAGGUUGUUGUCGUUAGCUUGUACAUGAUGGUCUUAGAUAGAUUCUUUGUCUCUGAUUCAUACUGGUUGUUGUCGUUAGCUUGUACAUGAUGGUCUUAGAUAGAUUCUUUGUCUCUGUUUCAUGCUUUGUCCUUUUGUUUCUUUUUCUUGUUAGAUAUGACUAAAUUACAAGGCUUUCCGAACUAAUCUUUUGAUGGAAGGUGUGAAUGCUAUCAUGAAUAGAACUGAUGUUGUGUACUAAUUUAAAAGAUAUGUUGGAAAUGAAAGUUUA